AUGCGAAAGCGUGGGGAGCAAACAGGAUUAGAUACCCUGGUAGUCCACGCUGUAAACGAUGUCGAUUUGGAGUUUGUUGCCUAGAGUGAUGGGCUCCGAAGCUAACGCGAUAAAUCGACCGCUGGGGAGUACGCCCGCAAGGUUAAAACUCAAAUGAAUUGACGGGGGCCCGCACAAGCGGUGGAGCAUGUGGUUUAAUUCGAUGCAACGCGAAGAACCUUACCUGGUCUUGACAUCCAUAGAAUUCUGCAGAGAUGUGGGAGUGCCUUCGGGAACUAUGAGACAGGUGCUGCAUGGCUGUCGUCAGCUCGUGUUGUGAAAUGUUGGGUUAAGUCCCGCAACGAGCGCAACCCUUAUUCUUUGUUGCCAGCGAUUUGGUCGGGAACUCAAAGGAGACUGCCGUUGAUAAAGCGGAGGAAGGUGGGGACGACGUCAAGUCAUCAUGGCCCUUACGACCAGGGCUACACACGUGCUACAAUGGCGUAUACAAAGGGAAGCGAAGGUGCGAGCUGGAGCGGAUCUCAUAAAGUACGUCUAAGUUCGGAUUGGAGUCUGCAACUCGACUCCAUGAAGUCGGAAUCGCUAGUAAUCGUAGAUCAGAAUGCUACGGUGAAUACGUUCCCGGGCCUUGUACACACCGCCCGUCACACCAUGGGAGUGGGUUGCACCAGAAGUAGAUAGCUUAACCGCGAGGGGGGCGUUUACCACGGUGUGAUUCAUGACUGGGGUGAAGUCGUAACAAGGUAAC
RNAcentral lists this ribosomal RNA (748 nucleotides) under uncultured Enterobacteriaceae bacterium. Its description in RNAcentral is "bacterial SSU rRNA". It matches the Rfam family "Bacterial small subunit ribosomal RNA", at positions 751 to 1500 of the family's 1533-position model. Lineage: Bacteria; Pseudomonadati; Pseudomonadota; Gammaproteobacteria; Enterobacterales; Enterobacteriaceae. The record is from RNAcentral.